This 314-nucleotide small nuclear RNA is filed under the name Chinchilla lanigera (long-tailed chinchilla). RNAcentral describes it as "7SK RNA (ENSCLAG00000022089.1)". It matches the Rfam family "7SK RNA". From Rfam's summary of the family: 7SK was discovered as an abundant small nuclear RNA in the mid-70s but a possible function has only recently been suggested. Two independent studies have found that 7SK RNA binds the CDK9/cyclin T complex (known as elongation factor P-TEFb). P-TEFb activates transcription by phosphorylating the C-terminal domain of RNA polymerase II. The record is from Rfam by way of RNAcentral. Lineage: Eukaryota; Metazoa; Chordata; Mammalia; Rodentia; Chinchillidae.
GGAUGUGAGAGCGAUCCGGCUGCAACACUUGUCACCCCAUUGAUGGCCAGGGUUUAUUCAGCAGAUCUUGUUGGCUAGGUGUGCCUUUCCUCCCUCAAUGCUCUGUGUGUGUCCUUCCUGAAGCUGUGCCCUCAGUUGGAGAUGAUGAUCACCGCCGAGAGAGGAGGGCACUUCUCCAUCCUAGCUGAGCUCCCCUGCUAGAACCUGCAGACAAACUCUCAAGAAAUGACCCCUGUUCAUCAUUCAUAUAAGAUGUGGAACAAAUGCCUUUAUGGUUAAAAUGAGAAAAAUUAUAGUAUCUGCCUCAUAAGAAU